UAGGGAAUCUUAGACAAUGGGGGAAACCCUGAUCUAGCCAUGCCGCGUGUGUGAUGAAGGCCUUAGGGUCGUAAAGCACUUUCGCCAGAGAUGAUAAUGCCAGUAUCUGGUAAAGAAACCCCGGCUAACUCCGUGCCAGCAGCCGCGGUAAUACGGAGGGGGUUAGCGUUGUUCGGAAUUACUGGGCGUAAAGCGCACGUAGGCGGAUUAGUAAGUUAGAGGUGAAAUCCCAGGGCUCAACCCUGGAACUGCCUUUAAUACUGCUAGUCUUGAGUUCGAGAGAGGUAAGUGGAAUUCCAAGUGUAGAGGUGAAAUUUGUAGAUAUUUGGAGGAACACCAGUGGCGAAGGCGGCUUACUGGCUCGAUACUGACGCUGAGGUGCGAAAGUGUGGGGAGCAAACAGGAUUAGAUACCCUGGUAGUCCACCCCGUAAACGAUGAAUGCCAGACGUCAGCAAGUAUACUUGUCGGUGUCACACCUAACGGAUUAAGCAUUCCGCCUGGGGAGUACGGUCGCAAG
RNAcentral lists this ribosomal RNA (519 nucleotides) under uncultured Alphaproteobacteria bacterium. RNAcentral's name for it is "bacterial SSU rRNA". It matches the Rfam family "Bacterial small subunit ribosomal RNA", at positions 355 to 892 of the family's 1533-position model. Lineage: Bacteria; Pseudomonadati; Pseudomonadota; Alphaproteobacteria. The record is from RNAcentral.